Long non-coding RNA from Numida meleagris (helmeted guineafowl), 12090 nucleotides. RefSeq lists it as uncharacterized. Lineage: Eukaryota; Metazoa; Chordata; Aves; Galliformes; Numididae. The transcript is spliced from 4 exons. The record is from RefSeq and is a predicted model, not a curated record.
GGGUGCCGGUGAUGCAAGGGAUGCAUGUGAUGCAUGUAAUGCACACGAUGCAUGCAGUGCAGGUGAUGCAGGUAACACUCUGGCCGAGCAGGAUGCAGUAGCUGCGGUCGGAUGCUCUGCAGCCCUGCAUGGAAGGAACAAGAGGGAGCAUGGAAAGCAGCAGGGUGCAUUUUCAAUGAGCAUCUGAAGGAGGACGGGAGCUCCAGCGUGCCGGUGCUCAUGCAUAAUGGAAACAGCUGGGGAGAGGCACAGGGAUGCGCCCACGACGCCUGAUAUAAACUAGAGGCGAUGGAGAAAUAAAAAAGGGGGGGAAAAUCCCACCCCAAAGCCCGUGUACAAGGCAUUAGGGGCGAUCAGGAAGAAUCAUGCUCAGCGCCGAAUGAAGAGGCUGCGCCGAAUAUACAGGAGCUGGCUGCCUGGGGGGAUGGCUCUGUGAUCUAAGAGAGCAAUCGGAGCGACGCUGCCUCGCUCCCCGCGGAUGGGGGUUUUAUUUCUCAGCAGGUUCGGCGGUGUGGUAGGUAAAUUACGCUUCGUCGUGCUUCCUCAGGUCUUAUUUCAUGGCCCAGCGAUGAUUGUGCUACUGAUCUUCCAAAGGGGGUUGUUGUGGGCUGGAGAGGCCUUGUAAAUAAGGACGUGGAAACCUUCCAGGAGAGACAAUGGCUAAGCACACAGUAUAGGCAGUCUGUCUUAUGGCACAUAGGGUGAAAUAAAGGUGUCCUGCCCCCUUGGCGCUGGUCCCAAGCUGUGCCUCCAGCACAUACACGUACACAUGCCCAUGUUUUGCCCUAUUCCAUUCCAAGAGCUGAAAUAAAACAAGCCGGGAGCAGCAGAAGCAGACCUGGGAUCCCAAAGGGUCCUGGAUCAAACCUAAUUACUCUCCAAAUGACUUCUAAUCAGCUCUCCCUCCCUGCUCCCCGCAGCCUUGCAGCUCAAAGGAAGAAACAAAUGCAAAACAAAUCACUGGGAAACAACCCCCCCCAACUCCUCUCUCCCUCCCCCCUUCCCUGCAGGCUCAGCCAGGCUGCCUUGGUUCUGAGGUUGCAGUGCUGCUGAUUUUGGGAUGCUGGAGCAGCAGCAGUGGCUCCAUCUUCGUUUCUUCACCCCCUCUCAGCAUCCCCGUCCCCAUUUUCCUGUUCAUGCCAUUCGCUUUUGUUUGGGGCCACCAGCAGCCUCCAUCCGAAGCCACAGGUGCUGGGUUCUCCCUGGCCCAGGUUUAGCAUCCUUUGGGUUGCCAAAGGCAUCAUCCCACUUUGACCAAUGAAGAAGGGGCCCAUGGGGGUGGGGGGGGUCUGUCCUCCUGCAUGGAGACUGCAGUCUCCACAGUGCCACAGGAAGCUCUGAGGCCAGCCGUAGACAUGUCCACCCUUUCCAUUAGUUCAAAAAGGAAAUAAAACAAUAUGAAUAGAAUCCAUCAGAUGCUUUUUAUUUCCUAUUUUUCUCCAACCUCCUGUCCUGCUGCCAGCAACACAUCCAGAUCCCCCAUCCCAUGGGUGGGAUGGAGGCAGCAAGAACAGAGUGGCACAGGGACAGAGCCCACGAGGCUGGCCCUGCUCAGCACCAGUUGUAAAACACAACAUUAGCACAAAGCCCACUCGGGCGCGUUCUCUCGAUUACCUCGGAAUUAUAAUUACACCGGCCCUUAAUAUGCCCACAUCCGAGUAAUUACAGUCGACUUACAGCCUCCGGCCGCGUCUGAUAUUAACUUUUAAUCACCUCGCUCCUAUGCUGGGGAAGAGAUGGUUGUGGUGAGAGGGGUUUUGCCCUCUCAGCAUCGCCUGUGUCCCCUCUGCAUAAGGAAAAGUGCAGUGGGGAGGGAGCGAUGUGUGCCUGCUGUCCCCCCAGUGACACACUAAGCAGCUCUGGUGCUUCAGCAAAGCUCACUGGUAUGGGGAGAGGAGCCAGCCCUGGGGGUGGGAACUGAAAGCCAACCCCCUAUGCAAGGGGAGAGCUGGGGUGUAGGCACCCAGCCCAAGGCAGAACUGGAUUGUAGGGGAGGGAUGGGCAGCAAAAAGAGGGGGAAAAAACCACUCCGAUAUAAAACACUCUCCCAUGAGGACCCAUUUUAAAGGCAUUUUUAAUUAACCGUGCCUUUCGCUGGAGCUUUGCAGUGGAAUUAUUGUACAUUGAAUAAACACCGGUUGAUUAUUAAGAACAUAUUUACUGAGCCCUAAGCACGCUGCAGCUCCUGCUGUAGGGAGCUGCUUGCUUCAUGCUGGGAGCAUCUCCGCUGCCCUCCAGAAUGGUGGGAUGCCCUGGUGACACAUCACAGAGGAGCAGGAGGUUCCCUUCUUCCCUCUCCCAUUUUUGUGCUUAUUCCUCAGAGCUGAUGUGAAUGGGGACCUUGGGCUUUUCCCCCAAAGACUGAUGGAUGCAGGGAUCUGUGUGAGUCCAGGGGGAUGCUGAGCAGCCUGGUGGGGACCACAGUGCGGAAAUUAUGGCAACAGGUGGAGCAUAGUUCUCCUGAACAAAAAAAAUAAUUACUUCAGAUUUUAUGAGGACAAAAAAGCGGAAAUUAGGCAAAUAUGCAUAUAUGAAUGGGAACUCAGGUUCAAACAGGAGCAAAUAGCCAUAAGCCGGGCUCAGUUCCCAUUGCGAGAGUGUGUGAAGAGUUAACAGCAGUGAUUUCUGCCCCAAACGUGCCACGUCCCCACAUUCUCCAGGAUCUGCUCAGGAACGGGGUCAGCCUCCAGUUUGUGUCCCAAAAAGGGGCCAGGGUGGCUCUGGUCAAGGACCAGGAGGAGGCUUUGUGGCUCCCACUGCGUCCUCUUAAAAAGAAAUUCAUGGCUCCUGCCUGCCCAGGCCAUCAUUUUGUAAGGUUUAUGCACAAACCGCAUACGAGUAGACUGGAAGCAUAAAAUUAUAUAGGGCAGUUAAUUGAAAAACUGCCUGCACCACAUGCAAUAAUUGACAUUAAGUGUUGUUUGGAGCAGGAAAUCUCUUGAUAUUAAACUGCAGCGGCACUGGGGGAAGCUGCCCCAUCGUGGGUCCUGCCUUCUGCUGGGGUUGCUCCAGAUUUGGGAUGGAGACAAAGCCUGCAGGUCACUGACUCAGGAGCCAAGGUUGAACAUGCUCAUCACAUCGCCUUAUUAGCAACACCAUCAUUUAUGGACGUUUUUCCAAAGAGGAGCUAUCAAUAUAUUUAUUUUGCUGCUGAUGUAGAGCUGAGCUGCGCAUAAGACUUCACUCAGCCUUGCCAGUAUUCUAUCAGCUCUUCGAUCCAUAGGUUCUCCCCCUGUACAUAUUUAGAUCUAUCUCAGAAGAUGGCUUCUUAACCAAAAUCCCUUUCAGCUCCCUGGGAAGGCGCAGGGAGCAGCAUCCCCUUGAUUCUCCCCAGUUGGGACCAGUUGGGCUCUGGAAACGAGGAUGGGCACAGAGCAAUCACAAGGCUCCCAACAGCUCGCUUAUUUAUUUGAGCAACGACAGCUGAGCUUUAAAUAUUUAUAGUGCUUCCUAAUGUCCUAAGAAGUGUACUGUAGAAAAUAAUCUGCAAAGAGAGCGAAGCCGCUGUGAGCUCACUGCAAAUAUCAUUGUCUCUUUGCUGCUAAAUCUUUGAUGAGAGCUGGGGAAGAAGAGGGAUGUGUGUGUGCUGGGAUUGAACCCACCCGUGAGGGUUUGGCCUUCAGAGCCCUCACCUGUGGCACCAGCCCUAUGGGGACUGGGGGGGUGCCAGGGCUGGAGCACACCAUGCUUCAACGCAACAGAAAGAGGAAAGCAUUUAAUCAGCGCCUGCUUGAACUUCAAGGCUGACUUCAUGACUUCAUUGACCAUUACGGCACGCCGUAAAAGUUUAAUGGCUUUGACAAAGAGUAAAAAUAAAAAGGAAAAGGAAAUGCCCCGUGAUCCACUUUUCCACCCCUUUUAGUUCUUAGAAUAAAUCUGCAAAUAGGGAACUUAUCAUCUCUCGGUGAACGCGUCCCUUCCCCGCUGGCUCCGGGCAAUCCCCACCUGUGUGGCUGUGUCACUGCGGUGUCCCCACCUCCAUCGAUCCCCAGCGCUCCGUGGGCACACUCCGAACACAAACGAUUGCUGAUCACGGAUCAAUAGCAACAAAACAACCCUGCAGGGCAGCUUUGCGACGGGAGGCAGCUUGUUGGUAAGAACAGAAUCAGAGCUGACGUCCUGGGGAGAGGGAGGCUUUGAAGUGCACAGUGCUGCGGGGAGAGCUGGGGGGGACUGGGGCACGUGGGGGACAUUGGUCCCCGUUGGGGUUUGGGUACUCAUCCCUCACCCAGUGCAGCUGCGUAAUGAACCCGGCGAGGAACGCGGGCAAUUUUGUAGGGGAAAUAGAAAUGUAUCUAUAAUUAAUGAUCCUCCAAGAACACGCGGCCCCUUAUUAAUGUAGCGAUUUGGUGAAACAUAAUUUAUGAGGCGCUGAGCUUAAUCACUGACAAGAUCCCGAGUCAGGCGUGCGGGAAGGGAGGGAAAGGGGAGUCACCGGCUGUGAUUGUGCAUUCAGAGGACACUUGUAUCAUCCAGCACUCCUGGCAGGAACAAACCCCUCAUGAUACGGCUGGAGGGAACCUGAUGCAAGAAAGCAAACGCAAGCCAGCAGCGUGCUUGCAAACAUCCUUUCUGUGAGCUCCGUGCUCAUGAGAAAAUCGAUAGACCCAAACGUGCCCUGCCAAAAUGCUCUUCUCCAUCCAUGGAGAAUGGAUGGAAGGUGGGAAAUUCUCCUCUCCAUCCACGGAGCACGGUGGAAGGGCUUCUGGGGAGACUCAGGGCUUCCCAUAGCCCCGCAAGUGAUCCUCCUUCUCUGCAGGACACGUUUGCAGCAGGUGAGACCUUAUAUGGGGUCCUACAAGUGAACCUGGAGCUAAAUUCCCUCACACACAGAUUGCAUGGGGCCAGGCUGCAAAGUCAGACAUCCAGGGUUUACACACGGAGAUUUCUGGUGGAAUAGUGUUUCCACAUGUUUCUAUGGGAAAAACCCUUUUGCAGGGAAAAUGGAAAAUGGAAAACACUGACCUGGUUCUGAUUACCCGAGCCUGGAAACCCUCGUGCGCAUUUUGAUUUUUCAGUCUUUUUAGUGAAAAUCCUCGGCAUAUGUCAAGCAGCACACGAAGCGCGGGGCGGGGGUGGCAGUUGGUGGGGAGAUAUUCCCCGUCAGUGCUGGAAAGGGCCCAAAGCAAAACCAGCCCGAAACAGCAGUGGGUUUUGCAAAAUCAUCUUCUCAUUUCCCAUUCCAUCCCCGGCUCCGACUUUGGAUGCUCAGCACUUCUGCAAAGCGGUGCAAGCUGUGAUGCCACAUGCUCUCUGCUGAGCUACCAGAGCCCCUCUUCUUUAGCUUUUAUGAUUGGGAGCCAUUAACAAUUAAACAGCGCUCUGUUAUUUAUCUUUUGUCUUGCAAAAGAUCUUAGAGACCCCAGGCAUAAGCCAGGACCCCGGCUGCAAGCAGCAGCAUCAGUGCGCCUGCAUUUAGCAUGGCAAGCAAGAAAUCUGGUGGCAACAUUUCUCCUGUGACAGCCCCCUCCCUGCAGCAGCUCUCUGCCCGCUAUGUGGUUUAAAUUCAUUUUAGCAGUGAUUAAAAAACCCUCAUGCAUACGCAGAACGGCACACCGAGAGGUUUUUAGUGGAUGUUUCCCAGCUGAUGGCAGAGCGGUGACAGCAGCACCACGAGGUCCCUGUCCGAGCCACCAGCCCCAGACUUUGCUGUGGGUUGGGAUGGGAUGAUGGACAUCCCAUUGCGUGGAGGCGGCCACGAAACCCUUUGGGUUUGCCCCGGUGUGGGGACAGAGGAGCUGCAGGCAGGCAGAUGGACAGACAGAGCCCCACGCAGCUCUGGCCCCUUUCAGGCACCACCUCGACGCUUCCUCAAAUCAUGCUCCAGUCCGAUAAGCAUUUGCUUUAAAAUGAUAAUUGCACAGUACGGGCUAAAGCACAGCAGCCGCCGCAUGAAUAUUCAUGUGCGGAGGGACCGGCGAUGCGCUGCUUUCAAAGGGAAGCCAGUGGCACGGCUCUGAUAGCAGCUCCGUGGGAAAUGGCAUCUCUGCUCAGCCAGAAAUUUGGGGUUCUCUUGUCCCUUCUCCCCCCAGAUGCUCACAGUGCUGAGGAGCAGCCCAAGCAAGCAGCGAUGCUCUGGUCUCUGUGCUGCGUGGUGCAACCUAUAGGCACCUGUAUAGAGCCAAUUAAACCCACCCUGACUGCCACCGACCCCACCGAGGUCACUGUGACAUCCAUAAGGAAAAAGAGCCCCAAAAUCAAUUAUCCCAAACUCGGUGACGAGGCGGCAGCCCAAGCUCAGAUUUCCAAGGGGACGUGUGCGUGCCGCAGCCAGCCCCGCGCUCGCAGGGUGGUUUAAUUAGUGUGAUUUAUGUCGCCUUCCAUUGAUUGGGUCCCCGGAGCUUCGGGAAUCCAUCAGAGGGAGAACGGACGGCAUCGAUCGGUCGGUCCGAGCCCCGCGCUGGGACAACCGCGACCACAGCGGUGGUUAAUAAGCAAGAGUGAUGCUUGCAAGUGUGCUGCGUGGAAAGCAGAAGUGAGAUGGGGAUGGAGCUUGGUUGUCCCAACCCUGAAGAGAGCUCAUCCUGCACCUGAGCACAAGGAAGAACUAAGCAAUGAAAAGCAAUGAUUCGCGGUGAGAAAGCAAACUGAGCCUCCAGCAAAGCAAAAUCCUUGAGAGUGCACAAAAAUGAAGGGGUUCAGCAUCUUAGCAUGAGCAUCCGCUUGCACAGAGCAUCACGGCCCCAUUUGCUAGCAGAGAACCUUCCUGGACUGAGCUGCUCCUGCUUUGCUCCAGAGCGCUGAGCUCUUUUUCUUGCUCUUGGUUGAGUUUCUCUUCUCUCUUGAUCCUAAUAAAAACUAAGUGAAAGCGAAAUGAAGGCAAAAAGCUUUUGCAGGGCGAGGACGGAGCAAGGCAAUUAGUUUGUGCUCUUGAAAAUUAUUCACUAAUUGUGCAAGGAAUUGUGUACAAAAAGGGAACUAAUAAAAGAGAUUUAAUUUGAUGCUGGGAAGGGAACGAGAGCGGAACGAGCAGCAGAACGCGGCUGAGUGCUAAUGGGCUCUGCUCGGCGUGUCCCCGAGCAGGUACCGCUCGACAGACGUGCAAUUGAAUCUGGAGGCUUUGGGGACAGUGCUCAGAGCAAAUUACCCAUGACGGCGCGAUUGCUUUCUCCCCAAGGACGGGAUCAUUGCUGGGGAGAGCACUGCGUCCCGGGCAGCGGUGCCGCAUUGCUCUGGGUAUGGUGGGCAAUGCCCUCAUUUUGAAGAUGGGGACACUGAGGCAUGCAGCUCUGUCUCCCUAUGGGGUAUCCCUGACCCAAAGAUCCCCAAAUGUCCCUUGAAUGCACUGGGAACUGCAGAGAAGCCAGAUCUGGUGCGGCUGGCAUGAGGCCAUGGUGCCAGCGGUCUCGCCCCUGGCGCCAGCUCGUUCUGCAGCGUUUCCUUGGCUCUGCAAGGAGAAGGGAAAGGAAAAACUUCAGUAAGGGAAUGAAAUGCCUGAGGGGAACCUGAAGGCCCCUUCGGCAACAAGCUGUGAGACAGAGGCUGAGCAAAAGCAGAAAGCUGGGCUUUUUGUGGGAAGCGUUCCGAGAGCGAGUGCGGUGCUGUUGGGAAGAGGAGGGCUUGGAGGUAUCACAGCGGUGGGUGUUGUUUGGGAGAUCAGUGCCAGCCCUCUGUGAUGUGUCCCCAGCACCCUCAGGCAUCUGGAGGGCCGUCAGCCCCACAGGUCCCAGCCCAAAGCCAGCAUCUCUUUUUGGCACCAAACAAGCCAGCUGCUCCAUCUGAGAGCACAUCUGUAUUUCUCCUUUGUUGUUAGCGAUCCCCUCCAAAGCUCUGGCAGAACUGCUGGGGAUUUUGCAUCAAUCCUACAAAAAAAGCCUCCCUCGGUGCCUCUUCUUUUUCCUCAAAUAGUCAGGGAAAUGCUUUCAGACAGCAUUGCUGGACCACGAGCACAAGGGAGCAUAAAUUUGGCAGUGCAUCUGGAUGGCACAGGACAGCAAGCAAGCGGCUGUUGGAAGACAGGUGUCUGCACCCCAGGAAACAGCCUGCAAAGCCCAGAAGGGAUGGAGACGUCUCUUGAGAAACACAGAGAAUUAGAAAGAGUUGAGAUCAAUAAAAAUGUUUCAUCUCCACUCUUCCUGAUGGACAGGAGCGCGUGGGGAGGGCUGCGUGAUGGAUGGGUGUAUCUGAAGGCAGCUGGAUGAACAGGGAGCCCUAAAUGAGACUGGAUGCAUUUCGGGGGAUUGUUUUGUUUUGAUGACUGCUUUGGUUCCUCUCCCUGCAUACCCUCUGGGCCCACACCCAGGGAUGCAUCUCCGGGGCUUGCAGGGAGCAGCAGAGCUUCUCUGGGUGCCCACAGCCCCAGGGAUGGGAGCUGCAGGGAGGGGACGGCUGCAGCCCCGUUAUCGUCCUGUAUCUCUUUGACAGGUCCGAUGACAUUUAUGGUUCUGAAAGCUUCAAUAAAAAGCACUUUAGCCACAACCUAAUUUCCAGUCAAAUUCCACCACCUUCCCCCCUCCUGGAUUAAAAUCAAGGCUUGGCUUGCUGACAGCCCAUCAGGCACAUCCCUGCCCGAUGUGCAUCUCACACUCGGAAUCCAAGGACAAAAAAUUUGCUAAAUGACUCGAAAAUGACACAGAGAAAGAAAACUGCGGCUGGACGCUGACAUCCCUGCAGCAGUGACAGCAUCCCUGGCUCUGUGCAAAGGGGAGAUGUUCCAUGGAUCUUCCAUGGGUCUCCCAUGGGUAUUCCAUGGGUAGUCCAUAGACAUUCCAUGGGUAUUCCAUGGGUCUUCCAUAGAUAUUCCAUGGGUUUUCCACAGAUUUUUCAUGGGCCCUCCAUUGCAUGGGUCUCCCAUAGGUCUUCUGUGGGUAUUCAAUAGAUAUUCCACAGGUCUUCCAUGAGUCUCCCAUGGUAUUCCAUGGAUAUUCCAUAGGUAUUUCAUGGGCCUUCCAUAGAUACUCCAUGGGUAUUCCAUGGGUCUCCCAAGGGUAUUCCAUGGGUAGUCCAUAGACAUUCCAUGGGUCUUCCACAGGUAUUCCAUAGAUAUUCCAUGGGUCUUCCAUAGAUAUUCCAUAGAUAUUUCAUGGGCCUUCCAUAGCAUGUGUCUUUCAUGAAUCUCCCAUGGGUAUUUCAUGGGUAUUCCGUAGAUAUUUCAUAGGCCUUCCAUAGAUAUUCCAUGGGUCUCCCAUGGGUCUCCCAUGGAUCUUCCAUGGGUAUUUCAUAGACAUUCUAUGGGUCUUCCAUAGGUCUUCCAUGGCUCUUCUGUAGAUAUUCCAUGGGUCUUCUGUAGGUUUUUCAUGGCUCUUCAGUAGUUCUUCCUUGAGUAUUUCAUGGGGUUCCCCACAUAUGAAUGUUUGGAUCUGUGUGGCACAGCUCUGGAUGCAGAGCUGGGAUCUUCCAGCUCCGUCCAACCUCUGCUAUCACCACACACUCCAACAUCUGGAUGUCAUCAGAAUGAAACAGUUUACACUCGAGUGCAGCAAAUGUUUGGACAGCGCUGAAACAAAAUGAUACGACGUUACGGAAAUACCGCUACAGGAUUUUGAUCAGAUUGGGAUUAUAAAAUAAAAGAAAUAAAAUAAAAUAUAAAUAAUUAUAGGAACGUCUCCAGGUUUCCAAAGGGAAAAGCACUGGUUCAGCAGUGAUGCUCAUACUGUCAGUGAAGGAAAGGGAUUUUUAAAACCAGUCUCCCACUGGCUUUGUGAUUUGUAGUGGCAUUUAUGCUCCACUUUUCAGGGCUCUCUUUCAGCUCCGGAUCCAGCUCUGACCUUCUGCUCCUGCACCGCUCUGAAGGCAAAGAGCAGAGAACAGCCCCGAACCACCCAGCUGGAACUGGGGGGGGAAAGGGAAGGAAACACGCAGAGGCUCCUCCAGAUUUUCCAUAAGGGAAAGCAGAGGGCUCAGCUCCCACGCCAGCAGUGCUAAGUGAAUGCCAAACACCAGCAGAGCGGCACUUUAUUUUCACUUUGCUCAGGUCUAAGUGACUGCAGAGCAAUGGGAAACGAGGCCCCUGAGCCCCGGGGGCAGCACUCGCCCGCCCGCAUUUGCUAUCCACAGCACAAUAAGCCACAACACGGGAUUAAUCUCAGCCCUGCAUUAUUCAGGCUCGUUGCUCGGGAGAGUCCUGCCAGGUUGAGGCUCAGUGCAUCUCAUUUCUGCGCUUUGCCACUCGCCGUAGUAUCAAAGGUCCUUAUUUAAUGGUCGCUGCAAUUUUAUGCAGACAAAUUGCCUUUGAACUCAAGGGCUGUAAGCGAGGCUGUGGGUGUCGCUGGGUUGGAAGUUUUGAGUCCUCAGGCAUAGAACUAAUCACAAAAUCCCAAAAUCCUCUCUUCCCUAUGACUCUCUAUAGCCUCCAAAGCUCCAUUGUGCUCUCCCUUCCUCUGCUUUUUUUAGGAGGCUGAUGAGAUGGUCUGAAAUAUUUGGCUUGUCUCAAGGCGACUCUGCUGGCCCGUGGCUCACACGUGGCCAUAGGUCCUCAGGCUGGAUCGAGCCCUGUGAUCUGACACUGCUGGCAUGUGCAAUGCAUGCUCAUGGCUGGGACAGGACACAGAGGGCAGGAGCUGGAGCUAGGUACAGAUAUCUGUACCACCACUGCACAUUCCCCUGGAAGGGUUAGAAGUGGGCACAAAGGGCUGAGCAUCCUAUGGGGCACCCUCAAGAAGGGAAAUGUAGUGGAAAUGCUAAGUCAGGGCUUGAAGCAGUGAUGGAGCACCUGGUGGGAAGGCAGGGCCAACCCAGGGAAGCUCAGGUGCAUGCAAUGACCUGAGUGAUGGAAGGGACGGAGCCAGGAUCCACCCCUUCCCAGACCUCAUUUAAGGGUUGGCAGUGGAGAUGAGGAGAUCUUGCUGGAGAUUCCUUUUUUCCAUGAGGCCUUUUGAAGGGAAACAGAGCAGAAAGGAGAUGGAUGCAUGGGGUUCUCAUGUCCUUGCCCCCAGACCACAACCUCUUCCCCCUGAAUGCAGUAGGGUCUCAACCACUGCUGGGGGAACUUCACCAUGUGAAGCUACUGAAGGAAUCACAUCCAGAUGCACUUCCCCCAUCACGCUGCUUCCUCUCCUCCCUUCUAUCUGCCCUUUGGUUCUCUGCCCCUUUUCCCUCUCCAGAGCGUGCUGGGAGCUGGAAGGAAGGCAGGACUGGAGUCAGCAUGUGCUGCCCUUCCCCAAAAUGAGGAUAGUUGGAGCACCCCAUCCAGCAGCGAGGUGGGCAGCUCUGCUACCCCUAAAAAACAAGAAGAGGAAAUGAUGGCGUGGAUAAAAGCAGCAAGCACGGAGCAGCUGGGAGCCGGUGCGGGGCUGCGCUAAUGACGGCUGAUUUCGCGUUAGCACAACUGCCUUUGGUUCGCAGACAGAAAUAUGCUGAAGCAGAGGCUUUUGUCAAACCGGGGCCAAAACACAUCUGUGAAUAAUUGAACAAUAUUCAUGUCGGAAGAGUCAGCAGUUUGUCACUGGCUUCCUCCGCGUGCUUGGAGGACGGGAACAGCUUUCUGCAAGCAAGAGGAAGGAGGUGAAGGCAGCUCCAGCAGUACGUCAGCAGCCUGAGAGUGUGCAGAAGUGAUGCUGAGACCUCCUGGGUGCAUGUACAGCUUAUUUCUGCCCCACGUUUCUGCUGUCCUGUGAGUGGGCAGGAGGGAAUCCACGAGGAGAGGACUGCGGAGGCAGCUCCCCAGCCCUGCAUCACUUCUCUCCCCUCCAGCAGGCAGCUGGCCCUGUUAACGAGGGCCUUUGGAAUUUGAUUGGUGAUGGGGUGACCUGCAGGAACAUCUCCAUUGAUUGCACUCAGUGCCCGCUGUUGGUAUUUAGGGACUGGUAGCACUGCUCCAUCCCCUGCAGCCUCCGGGGUUCUCCUGUUGAUCCCACAUCCAGGAGGAGCAGCACAGCCACGCUGGGCUUUGUGUGCAGCACCAAGCUGCCUGCAGUAGCAACCCCGAGCGCUUGCAAACUGGGAAACCAGUGUUGUUGUAAGGAAAGCGAUGGGAGGGGAUCAAAAGAAUUUGCAGCAAAACCACAAAACAUCUCAUCUUUUAAAGAAUUCCCACCCUCGUUUGUAAAACAGAGCUUGGCCUACAAAACAACACCAGCAACACUGUUCUUGCUGCCGUGCUUUCAGCUGAGGGAGAAAGAAAUCAGCUUUCCCACUGCAGCCUCUGGCCCU